CUACACCUGGUUUCUAUGUGCUAUUUUUGGCUGUGGAUGGGCAUAAAAAUGAGAAAAAAUUGAUAGAAAAAAUCUAGAAAAAGAUAAGGAAAAGAGGAAGAGAAAAAUAGAAAGGAAAGUAUGAGAGAAAAGGAAAGUAUGAGAUACUUGUCCUAAAAAUCAGAUUGUUCAUGUGUUGAACAUAAAAUCUGAUUUAUGUGUGGU
This 204-nucleotide long non-coding RNA is filed under the name Elaeis guineensis (African oil palm). RNAcentral describes it as "long non-coding RNA (EGUI_LNC056012)". Lineage: Eukaryota; Viridiplantae; Streptophyta; Magnoliopsida; Arecales; Arecaceae. The record is from RNAcentral.